UUAACUGAAAAUAUAAACUUUAUUUUCUUUCCAAAGUGUAGCAACCAUAACAACAUCCUCUGCAUUUUUUUUGUUCUUUUUAAUUCUAAUGUCAUAUUUAAAAAAAAAGGUAUAUAAUUAUAACAAUUCCAUUUAUUUACCAUGUUUUCCUAUUCCAUAUUUCACGCAUUACUAAUUUAUUGUCCAUGUCAUAAUUCACUAUCACUUGAUAUAUUCUGUAGAUCACUUGUUAUUAAUAAUUUCUCAGUCACAAUUCACCAUAUUUAGUGACCCUCUAAGUAUUUGACUUUUUCUUGUGAGAGGUGUCAUUGUGCCUGGAGUUUUAAUUCUGGGAGCUUAGGGGACCCAGCCUGUUUAUUUAGUGUAGAACCACGGAACAUAUGCACAAUUUGUAUGACGAAGAGUACGCCUGCAUCCAGGUUAGGUAUUGUAUGAGCUGUAUUCCAGGGUGCAUUGAAAAUAAAUUCUAUGCUGUAUUAUUAUUAUUAUUGGUAUUUAGAUAGCACCAGCAUAUUCCAUAGUGCUUUACAAUAUUAUCAUGUUAUCAGAGGUGAAGACAUAUGUAUACGUGUAACUAUGAAAAUAUUAUUAACAAUCAAACUAUCUGACCCCUGAUCAAUCAGGCUUUUGUCCAAAUUACUCAACUUUGACUGCUCUCUUAAAAGUUUGCAAUUGGCAUGGAGUAAGGAGUUUGCAAUUGGCAUGGAGUAAGGAGACUAAUAUGUUAUUUCCCUUGAUUUUGCCAAGGCCUUUGACACAGUAAACCAUAGCAUUAUUUUGCAAAAACUUAAAAACGAAGGUAUUGGUGAUCGUCUGCUAACCUGGUUUCGAUC
Non-coding RNA from Pelobates cultripes (western spadefoot toad), 833 nucleotides. The record is from the annotation of a GenBank genome assembly. NCBI's taxonomy places the organism in Eukaryota, Metazoa, Chordata, Amphibia, Anura, Pelobatidae.